CCCCUAGACGUUCUGGGCCGCACGCGCGCUACACUGACCAGUGCAACAAGCAUCCGUCCUUGGCCGACAGGCCCGGGCAAUCUUUGAACGCUGGUCGUGAUGGGGAUAGACUUUUGCAAUUUUUGGUCUUCAACGAGGAAUUCCUAGUAAACGCAAGUCAUCAACUUGCAUUGAUUACGUCCCUGCCCUUUGUACACACCGCCCGUCGCACCUACCGAUUGAAUGGUCCGGUGAAGCCUCCGGAUUGGCGCGCACCUCGGUGCCGCCGAGAAGUUGGCUAAACCUUACCAUUUAGAGGAAGGUGAAGUCGUANCA
This 315-nucleotide ribosomal RNA is filed under the name uncultured eukaryote. Its description in RNAcentral is "partial 18S ribosomal RNA". It matches the Rfam family "Eukaryotic small subunit ribosomal RNA", at positions 1470 to 1796 of the family's 1831-position model. The record is from RNAcentral.